Molecule: long non-coding RNA, 1629 nt
Organism: Neopelma chrysocephalum (saffron-crested tyrant-manakin)
Lineage: Eukaryota; Metazoa; Chordata; Aves; Passeriformes; Pipridae
Exons: 3
Source: RefSeq, a predicted model, not a curated record
AGUUAAAUAUGUGGGGUGCUUGUCAGGAUGGCAAUUGACAUUUAAUUUAUGUGGCAGUACUGUAGUUGUGUUACUCCCUUAGAACCUGGGAAAAUGGACUUUGGAACACGUUUCACAGGACUGGAAAGAGGAGGAGUGCCAAGUAAACAUUACUUUUUGAGUUUGAACUCACUAAUGCUGUUGAUCCAGGGGUUUCCUAUUACAAAGACAAUCCUGAACCUCUGGGUGAGAGGGGAAAAAUGAAUAUUAUAGUAUGUAUCCUACUCUGUCUUCCAUAAAUAUCUGCUGGGUUGCCUUUUAAAUUGAAGUUUUCUGAUGAGAAUACAUGGGAAAAAAAUUCCAUUUUCUGGGAAGACUUGAAUUUUUACCUUGUAACUCCUGAUGGUUCAUUUCUGAGAGGAAGAGAAGGAGAGACUGGGAAAUGGAAGAAAGUGACCUCUGGUUCUCUAUUGAAUGGGCUGAGAAUUUAAAAUGGCACAAAAGUGUGUGUGUCUCAAUUUCCUUUAUAUGUUUAAAAGACUGUAGGGUAGAAAUUUGGUCCAUUUUAAUCUUUAUUUUUAGGGUAGAAUUGAAGCAAGUAAUCCCAGCAGGAGCCUCCCUGUUUGAACACAGAGAUGUUAUGCAGGGACAUGUAGAAAUCUAUGUUGGGCAAUUCUGAGCUUUGAUUCAAGUUUGAGGUGACUAAUUGUGAACUACUUUCACCUUGUCAUGAGGAAUAGAAAUGGGGAGAAGAUUGGUUAUGAAAGGUUUUUUUUCAUUUCCUCUUUUCUUUCUCACUUUGGCUUCAAUCUAAAUGAUGUAGUUGAGUGCACCCGUUAUUGAGAAAGGAUCAAAUAUUGCAUUCUGAUAAUAAAAGUAGAGUUGAGCCUGUGAUAGAAAUCCUAGCUGAUAUAAAAGAAGAUUUCUGAGUGUGGCUUUGUGGAGGAAAAAAAGAAAAGAAGUUUUUACGCUUUUGGGAGUCUCAGAGAUAGGCAGCAGGGAAUAAAUUGUGAUGAUUGUUUCAGUCUGGAUUUCUGUCAGGAGAAAAAGCAGUCUGAGACACUGAGGAGUAAGGCAGAGAGAAGCUCAGGUAUGCAGUUGGGUUUGGUCCUUCCUAAGCAAAGAAAGAAGCCAAUAUGUGUUAUUUGGAUUGCAGUGCAGCAUGAGAGUGGAGGAGAUUACAUGUGUGUACAGGCUUUCUGGUUUUAUGAAAAAUUCUCUAACAUUUCUUCCUCAUUUCAGCAGAUCAGUAUUACAAAAGCUGAUGGUCAGAGGUUCCCGAAAGCAGCUGGCACAGAGGUAAUGUCAGAGGGGCAGGGAGUGAUGUUCACCCUUGGAUGGAAUUGUGCUUCUGGACGUGUGUGGAAAGGGCCUGGGAAGCAGCAGAGCUGCAAUCAGCUCCACAGCCUAGAUAUGGAUAUUAACAAGAGGAACAGUAAAGACUCAGAAGCUCAGAAACCUUCUUAAAGGGGCAGUACACAAAUAAAUGAGAUUUGAGCACUUUAAGUAAUAUAAACAUUGCAGCCAGAGGAGAAGAGAAGCAAGAAAGCAGGAGAGCUGAUGUUUCACACCAAAGUCCUGAAUUCUUCAAGAAUGUUAAAGAAACACCAUAAUUUUUCCCAUCUCUGCAAGAGCUGAAUAUUUCUUAUU